CAAAAUUUGAACAUUAUAAACUCUAUUUUGGUCUCCUAAUUGGUAACUUGUCCCUUCUGAUUGGCUGAGGUGGUUGUUCAGUGGAUUCCUGUCUUGGUUGGGGUGGUUCAUCACAUGGUUAUGUCCUUUCUUGACUUGGUUCUUCAGAAGGUUGUGGAUGUAAGGGGCAUUGGUUUCUGUUAUGCCCAACGAUACGACAUAUGCUGCAUUUUUUACGGUGGCCACCUUUGGUCAUUUGUGUUUCAUCCCUUCUUAGUUCCCAACUCUCCAACCUUCUUUUUUUCUUAGGUCUUCCAGGUAAUUUUCUCUUCAAUGGUGGGAGGAUGUCUGGACAGGAUGUUCUUUCCCAUAAAAGGUGCCCAUUCACUGGAAAUAUGAUAGACGCAUAGGUUUCAUCAUACGUUGACCUUCUGAACCAAAUGGGUACAAAGUCUUUUGGAUUUAAAUUUAAGAAUCUGAUUGUUGCAAUUGCAUGGCAGCAAGGGAUGCCACUAACGACCCAUUUCCUGCACGUACAGUCUUGAGUGUCGAGGUUG
This 536-nucleotide long non-coding RNA is filed under the name Vigna radiata. RNAcentral describes it as "long non-coding RNA (VRAD_LNC010538)". Lineage: Eukaryota; Viridiplantae; Streptophyta; Magnoliopsida; Fabales; Fabaceae. The record is from RNAcentral.